AAGAAUUUCACUUAUAUUUUGUUGCUUUGCAUUCGAUGAUGAAGAAACUGCGGAGCUCUUUAUAUAUAUUCAAGUACUUCAGUAUUUGGCCUGGAGAAGACAUUCAUGAGAUAUAACAUUAAUUAGUAAUGAAGCUAUUUUCAAAGUGUCAAUCCUUAUAUCAUCCAUUUGGAAAAUGUACAAUAUACAGCACAUGGCAUAGAAAAUUGAUAGAAUGAGAUGUGCCAAAUGAUUUAUAUUAGAACCAAAGUAACAAAAAUAUUCCUAAAAAAGAAGUGAAAAAAAAUACAUAAAAUUCAGCAAGAAAAUCAAAAUUAAAACAGUAAAAGAAAAUGCUGUAACAGUUCAAUAUACCUUUUAUCAUUUUUUCAAAAAAAAAAAAAAAACAGUACAACAACUCUAUGCAGACAAAGCCUUGGUAAACCUCAAAGUCAGCCACCCCAUCUGAUAGCUUAGAGUACUUACCCGUUUACCACAGAAAGAGCCAAACACUCGAUUCCCCAGAAAAACCUUAUACACAGUCGUCAUAACUCAUAACAACAGCUCUUCAUAUGAUCAUCUAAACCUGUUUUCAGACACCCAACUCCAACAUGCAAACUGGGUUCCCAAGUUGGUAAUAACUUACAAGACAAAAACACAUAAAUAUUUGACCAAAGUUUCAGAAAAAAAGACCAAAGAACAAAAGACUUACAAAGUAGGUGAGUGUCAGCAGUGGAAAGCAUAAGCCAUUAUUUUCAUUUUUACUUUGCUUUCUUUCUUAGCAUCCAAACAAGAGACUGUAGCGCAGCUGUGCUACAAACAA
Molecule: long non-coding RNA, 802 nt
Filed under: Durio zibethinus
Lineage: Eukaryota; Viridiplantae; Streptophyta; Magnoliopsida; Malvales; Malvaceae
Description: long non-coding RNA (DZIB_LNC001907)
Source: RNAcentral